ACGGAGGGUGCAAGCGUUAUCCGGAUUUAUUGGGUUUAAAGGGUCCGUAGGCGGGCCGAUAAGUCAGUGGUGAAAGCCCAUAGCUCAACUAUGGAACUGCCAUUGAUACUGUCGGUCUUGAGUACAAGUGAGGUUGGCGGAAUGUGUGGUGUAGCGGUGAAAUGCUUAGAUAUCACACAGAACACCGAUUGCGAAGGCAGCUGGCCAACUUGUAACUGACGCUGAGGGACGAAAGUGUGGGGAUCAAACAGGAUUAGAUACCCUGGUAGUCCACACCGUAAACGAUGAUUACUAGAUUUUGGCCUUAUGGUCAGAGUCCAAGCGAAAGUGUUUAGUAAUCCACCUGGGGAGUACGUCCGCAAGGAUG
RNAcentral lists this ribosomal RNA (367 nucleotides) under uncultured bacterium. RNAcentral describes it as "bacterial SSU rRNA". It matches the Rfam family "Bacterial small subunit ribosomal RNA", at positions 525 to 896 of the family's 1533-position model. The record is from RNAcentral.